GAUGAACGCUGGCGGCGUGCCUAAUACAUGCAAGUCGAGCGAACAGACGAGGAGCUUGCUCCUCUGACGUUAGCGGCGGACGGGUGAGUAACACGUGGAUAACCUACCUAUAAGACUGGGAUAACUUCGGGAAACCGGAGCUAAUACCGGAUAAUAUAUUGAACCGCAUGGUUCAAUAGUGAAAGACGGUUUUGCUGUCACUUAUAGAUGGAUCCGCGCCGCAUUAGCUAGUUGGUAAGGUAACGGCUUACCAAGGCAACGAUGCGUAGCCGACCUGAGAGGGUGAUCGGCCACACUGGAACUGAGACACGGUCCAGACUCCUACGGGAGGCAGCAGUAGGGAAUCUUCCGCAAUGGGCGAAAGCCUGACGGAGCAACGCCGCGUGAGUGAUGAAGGUCUUCGGAUCGUAAAACUCUAUUAUUAGGGAAGAACAAAUGUGUAAGUAACUAUGCACGUCUUGACGGUACCUAAUCAGAAAGCCACGGCUAACUACGUG
RNAcentral lists this ribosomal RNA (497 nucleotides) under uncultured bacterium. RNAcentral's name for it is "partial 16S ribosomal RNA". It matches the Rfam family "Bacterial small subunit ribosomal RNA", at positions 28 to 507 of the family's 1533-position model. The record is from RNAcentral.